RNAcentral lists this long non-coding RNA (638 nucleotides) under Bos taurus (domestic cattle). RNAcentral describes it as "long non-coding RNA NONBTAT025547". Lineage: Eukaryota; Metazoa; Chordata; Mammalia; Artiodactyla; Bovidae. The record is from RNAcentral.
GCAAUUUGAGGGUACUGGCCAGGCUGGGCUCAUUAUUCCUUUGGUUGAAUAAUGUAAAGCAUUUGCAAUGGAGAUUUGCUCUAAUGAUGUAUUUUAAGUGCAUGUCCAUGUUGUUGGUUUAAUGCACUCAGUCAUGGAAUUCUUUAGUUUAUUGCUAAUGGAUGAAUCCUCAGGAAAAUCGGCAUUUUCAAUCGGAUUGACAUUUGGAGUGAGAAAUAGAAAUCUAAUGAGAGCAUUUCAACCAAGGUUUGUAAUUAGGGCUGAAUGGAGUAAAUUUGUCCAUGCGCACCCCAGAAGGGCACAGUGGAAGGUGAAAUUGCUCACUCUGCUGCGAAUGAGGCACGAGGGCCAAUGGAUCAGUGUCAGGCCACGACACUGUGGAGUAUAAAUGAUACUGUCACCAAGUGCUGCACAGGGUAUCAAGGGAAUUCCACUCCAGUAAAUUACAUUACUCGGACCUGAAGGCAUUGUGCUGGAAUGAGAGGAGGGAAGAGAAGGCUGUCAGCACCCUGCGGAAGAUAUUACAGAGCUGGCUGCAGGGGUGGACGUUACCGGUUUCCAUUAUACCUGGAGAUUCUGUGUCCUUUGUUAAUUAGUUUUCAGAGGUUACAAAUGGGUACAUGUGAAAGCAGUCGUGU